UGGUGGAUCUACUAGCAUAUUAGAAUAGGCAUCAUAAUAGCUCUCAAAUGGCAGCGGUGUGGCGGAUGAUACCUUUGUGCUUAAUGUGGUAUUUAUGGACGGAAAGGAAUGAUAGGUGUUUUAACAAUAAGGAGCGUGUAGUGGGAGGAAUCUGGAAUUUAUUUGUUUUCUUUCUUUUACAGUGGCUUUCUGCUAUUGUACAAAGGGUGGGAAUAUCCAUGAUUUU
This is a long non-coding RNA of Juglans microcarpa x Juglans regia, 226 nucleotides long. RefSeq lists it as uncharacterized. The record is from RefSeq and is a predicted model, not a curated record. The transcript has 3 exons. NCBI's taxonomy places the organism in Eukaryota, Viridiplantae, Streptophyta, Magnoliopsida, Fagales, Juglandaceae.